UUUAAAAUUGUUGCAGUUAAAACGCUCGUAGUUGAAUUUCAAAGAGUCAUGGCGUUUCUGAGGUGCUCCUUGGUCGAUCUGCCCAGCACUGACUCUAUGAUUUUAUUGUAGAGCAGUGUGACUGGGUGUUCGAUUUCAAGAAAGUGUCUCCUUUACAAAGUGAUUUUUCUAAGGGUCUCUUGAGUACCAGUCCUUGGGAGGUUCUUUUUACCUUGAGUAAAUUAGAGUGUUUAAAGCAAACAGAUAGAACAGUUUACUGUGUUUAAAUACUACAGCAUGGAAUAAUAAUAUCGAAUGAGCCGACGUACUUUUCGUUUCUUUGUUAUUUUGGCUUAGUUACGAUUAACAGGAAUAGUUGGGGGCAUUUGUAUUCAGAUGUCAGAGGUGAAAUUCUAAGAUUAUCUGGAGACGAACAAUUGCGAAAGCAUCUGUCUAACAUAUUUUCAUUAAUCAAGAACGAAAGUUAAGGGAGUGAAGACGAUCAGAUACCGUCGUAAUCUUAACCAUAAACUAUGCCAACUAUGUUUUGGAUGUAUGAGAAAAAGAUGGAAUACUUUGUUUUACGACAUUGUCAUUCCAUUUAUGCUUCAUUCAGUACCUUAGAGAAAUCAAAGUCUUUGGGUUCUGGGGCGAGUAUUCGCGCAAGCGAGAAAGUUAAAAGAAUUGACGGAAGGGCACCACCAGACGUGGAGCUUGCGGCUUAAUUUGACUCAACACGGGAAAACUCACUAGUAUAAGACAAGAGUAGGAUUGACAGAUUAAUAGCUCUUUCUUGAUUUCUUGGAUGGUGAUGCAUGGCCGUUUUUAGUUCGUGAAUAUGAUUUGUCUGGUUAAUUCCGAUAACGAACGAGACCUUAACCUGCUAGUUAGCGGCCGGUAUGUCGCGAAUUUAUCAAAAUCUUAUCUCGUAGGCUGGAUUAUUUUUAGAAGAUAUGACGGAUAACCGAGUCGAGUGUCGUCCCCAUCACUGUUCUAUUAAUUCGCAGUCUGUCCUGGUUUUUUUUUAGGUAAGUAUGUAUCCGCUUGAAUGUAAGCUUCUUAGAGGUACGAUGUGUGCUUAACACAAGGAAGUUUAAGG
Molecule: ribosomal RNA, 1078 nt
Filed under: Plasmodium ovale (malaria parasite P. ovale)
Lineage: Eukaryota; Apicomplexa; Aconoidasida; Haemosporida; Plasmodiidae
Description: bacterial SSU rRNA
Rfam family: Eukaryotic small subunit ribosomal RNA
Source: RNAcentral